AGAGCGAACGCUGGCGGCAUGCUUAACACAUGCAAGUCGCACGGUCAGCAAUGGCAGUGGCGGACGGGUGAGUAACACGUAGGAAUCUAUCCUGGGGUGGGGGAUAACAGUGGGAAACUACUGCUAAUACCGCAUGAUACCUGAGGGUCAAAGGCGCGAGUCGCCUUGGGAGGAGCCUGCGUCUGAUUAGCUUGUUGGUGGGGUAAAGGCCUACCAAGGCGACGAUCAGUAGCUGGUCUGAGAGGAUGAUCAGCCACAUUGGGACUGAGACACGGCCCAAACUCCUACGGGAGGCAGC
This 298-nucleotide ribosomal RNA is filed under the name uncultured prokaryote. Its description in RNAcentral is "partial 16S ribosomal RNA". It matches the Rfam family "Bacterial small subunit ribosomal RNA", at positions 26 to 352 of the family's 1533-position model. The record is from RNAcentral.